AUUGAACGCUGGCGGAAUGCUUUACACAUGCAAGUCGAACGGCAGCACGGACUUCGGUCUGGUGGCGAGUGGCGAACGGGUGAGUAAUGUAUCGGAACGUGCCCAGUCGUGGGGGAUAACGUAGUGAAAAUUACGCUAAUACCGCAUACGAUCUAUGGAUGAAAGGGGGGGAUCGCAAGACCUCGCGCGAUUGGAGCGGCCGAUAUCAGAUUAGGUAGUUGGUGGGGUAAAGGCCGACCAAGCCAACGAUCUGUAGCUGGUCUGAGAGGACGACCCGCCACACUGGAACUGAGACACGGUCCAGACUCCUACGGGAGGCAGCAGUGGGGAAUUUUGGACAAUGGGCGAAAGCCUGAUCCAGCCAUUCCGCGUGCAGGAUGAAGGCCCUCGGGUUGUAAACUGCUUUUGUACAGAACGAAAAGGUUUCUACUAAUACUAGGAGCUCAUGACGGUACUGUAAGAAUAAGCACCGGCUAACUACGUGCCAGCCGCCGCAGUAA
RNAcentral lists this ribosomal RNA (500 nucleotides) under uncultured bacterium. Its description in RNAcentral is "partial 16S ribosomal RNA". It matches the Rfam family "Bacterial small subunit ribosomal RNA", at positions 30 to 523 of the family's 1533-position model. The record is from RNAcentral.